CGUGAUUCUAUCUCUUUUAUAAAUAUCGUAACAAAAUACAAUAAUUGAUAGCCUUACCCAGAAAAAGAUACGGAGUAUUGCAUUUUUUUAGAGAGAGAAAAAAUAUUUACUCGCAUAUAAAAAAUGUCGACGGAGCCGAUAUUUGGAGGUAUCAAGCAGAAAGAAGGAUCAGAGAACAGUUUGGAAAUCGAAACCCUUGCUAAUUUUGCUGUUGAUGAACACAACAAAAAAGAAAAUGCAUUGCUCGAAUUUCACAGGGUUGUAAACACUAAGGAACAGGUUGUUGCUGGCACUAUGUACUAUAUUACUCUCGAGGCAACUGAUGGUGACAAAAAGAAGGUUUAUGAAGCCAAAGUGUGGGUUAAGCCAUGGUUGAACUUCAAGGAAGUGCAGGAAUUUAAGUAUGUGGGCGACGCUGAUGCCCCAGCAGAGGGUUCCAGCAGCUAGGUUGCCUAGUUCUCCUCUUGCAGGGUCUCUGAUGAAUUUACUCUGUUGCUUUUGGGAAUAUUACGACUGCUAAAACCUGUUUGAGUGAAUGAUAUCUAUACAAUCACUCUAUCUAAAUAAUCUGUAACGCUGCACCCUUUAAUACAAUGAUGUUUCAUGGAUGGAAUAUUGUUCUGAACUCUGUUCCAUACGUCAAUCUAUAUUAUUAUUAUUAUGGUACCAAGUAUUUCUUCUUUGUUUCUCAGUAGCUUGCUUUCAAAAUCAUUAUAAGUUUCUGUAUGUUGUUAACAUUGUUCAAUUUCUGCAAUUCGUUUUACACUUCAAUCAGUUUGAAUUGUCAUUGAAAGAAGGUGAUUCCAUUAGUUUUCUCAUACUCCGUAUAAGUAAUCAGAGAUAUAUACAAUGCAUAACAUGAUAUAUAAUUAAUAAUAUUCCCAAAAGCAUGUUUACGCAACCUUUUUAUGAAUGCAUGUUUACGCAACCUUUUUACCCAUUUCCACUACUAUAAAUACAACAUUGCACCAAAGGUGUAUCUGCAUUGCAAAGCAUAAACUUCUAUCAAUUACAAGAUCAACUUAAGGCCAGCAACAAGUUAAGCAAGGUAACAAUGGCUUCGUCGCAAGUGCACCAAUUUUCUGACAAGGAGAAAGCAGCAAUCGAAGAGGCAAUGAAGGAGGCGCAGUCUUUCCAAGCUAACAACAUCAAGAAUGCAAAGGCGAGCCAAGAUAAGCUUGUCUUGGUUUCCGGUGCCAUGAAAAACCUACAAAGCCGCGCAUUAAGGCUUCACAAAUCCCACAGCUGGAAAGGAGUUUUCGUAGCCGGACCUUCUGAAACUAUGGCUACGGGGGUUGGUGCAUUCGUGCACGAGGGUACGCCUUGGCAAGGACAACUCCCUAUGGUUGUAGGCUCCAAGGGUGUAGUGAUAUAUGGUCACUAUGAUAAGGCUCUUCCUCAGCUUGGAUGGCUCUUGGCUUGGGACAAACCUACUCAUGUCGACAAUGGAAUUAGCAAGGUGUAUGUGGAAGCUGGACAUCUAACCAAGCUCAUGGAAAUGGAGCUGGCCGAAAUUGAAAAGAAACUUGAUGAAUCCCGCAGCAUAUCUCGCUACUGGGAUAGCGAAACCGGCGCUGCUGCAAGUGCUAAAAUUGAGAACGCUGCCGACAACAUGGCUUUGGUUGGUGCUACCUUUGAUCAGUUCUUCAAAGCCUCGCAGUCUUAAAUAAAAGGACCGCCAUUAUCUAUAUACAUAUAUGUAUCUCAUCUACGUACUUAAUUAACAACGUAACCAAAUUAAAGGGACUUAAUUAAAUAAUUAAACUGCAUAAUGUAUAAUGCAGGUAUUAUCUAUGCUAAGUAAUGCCCUCUUGGUUUUGUAAUGCUGAAAGAUGGAUGAUGCAUACAUCUAGUGCUUAUAUAAAUAAAGAAUGCUUGCUUUAUAUUA
Chenopodium quinoa (quinoa) is the source of this 1888-nucleotide RNA transcript. It is a transcript of the gene named jasmonate-induced protein homolog, with no coding region annotated. The record is from RefSeq and is a predicted model, not a curated record. NCBI's taxonomy places the organism in Eukaryota, Viridiplantae, Streptophyta, Magnoliopsida, Caryophyllales, Amaranthaceae. The transcript is spliced from 5 exons.